GAUGAACGCUGGCGGCGUGCCUAAUACAUGCAAGUCGAGCGAACAGACGAGGAGCUUGCUCCUCUGACGUUAGCGGCGGACGGGUGAGUAACACGUGGAUAACCUACCUAUAAGACUGGGAUAACUUCGGGAAACCGGAGCUAAUACCGGAUAAUAUAUUGAACCGCAUGGUUCAAUAGUGAAAGACGGGUUUGCUGUCACUUAUAGAUGGAUCCGCGCCGCAUUAGCUAGUUGGUAAGGUAACGGCUUACCAAGGCAACGAUGCGUAGCCGACCUGAGGGGGUGAUCGGCCACACUGGAACUGAGACACGGUCCAGACUCCUACGGGAGGCAGCAGUAGGGAAUCUUCCGCAAUGGGCGAAAGCCUGACGGAGCAACGCCGCGUGAGUGAUGAAGGUCUUCGGAUCGUAAAACUCUGUUAUUAGGGAAGAACAAAUGUGUAAGUAACUAUGCACGUCUUGACGGUACCUAAUCAGAAAGCCACGGCUAACUACGUG
This 497-nucleotide ribosomal RNA is filed under the name uncultured bacterium. Its description in RNAcentral is "partial 16S ribosomal RNA". It matches the Rfam family "Bacterial small subunit ribosomal RNA", at positions 28 to 507 of the family's 1533-position model. The record is from RNAcentral.